Non-coding RNA from Agelaius phoeniceus (red-winged blackbird), 491 nucleotides. The record is from RefSeq and is a predicted model, not a curated record. NCBI's taxonomy places the organism in Eukaryota, Metazoa, Chordata, Aves, Passeriformes, Icteridae.
CACAUACAACUCUUAUGGACAGGUGGCUACUGGAACUGAGCUGUGGUGGUCCCUUAAAUUGAAAGGUAUUCAAGAUGAUUCAGUAGUCUCAACGUGGAUCAGCUCAGAUCCUGACAGUUAAGCGUGAUAGCGGGGGACACUGUCUUCGUACCUGGAACGCCGGAAGAACCCGCACUGCACACGGGAGGAAAGGAACAGUUUAGCUGUGAGUUGCUGCCAAAGUACUACAAUUAUAGAAGCAGUAAAUUCUUCCUUCACACAAAUAGGCAGGGAGAAGACAUUUCACAUGAACAAAUGAAUGAGGUGAUCCUGUUCUCAUUAAAGCAUUGAAAGGUUGUUUAAAAUAGCUGCAAUGCAAUCUUUGAAGGGCCCUGCGACUUUCCUGUAUACCCAACACACCAGUAAUAGCAAUGGAAAGGAAGAUGGAUAAUAGCCCUGUCAUUCCUUUAAUUGUGUUCAAGAAUGAUUAUAUAGUAAAGGUUAUUUCAUUA